RNAcentral lists this ribosomal RNA (393 nucleotides) under uncultured Blautia sp. RNAcentral's name for it is "bacterial SSU rRNA". It matches the Rfam family "Bacterial small subunit ribosomal RNA", at positions 355 to 762 of the family's 1533-position model. The record is from RNAcentral. Lineage: Bacteria; Bacillati; Bacillota; Clostridia; Lachnospirales; Lachnospiraceae.
UGGGGAAUAUUGGGCAAUGGGGGGAAACCCUGACCCAGCAACGCCGCGUGAAGGAAGAAGGCUUUCGGGUUGUAAACUUCUUUUACCAGGGACGAAGGACGUGACGGUACCUGGAGAAAAAGCCCCGGCUAACUACGUGCCAGCAGCCGCGGUAAUACGUAGGGGGCAAGCGUUAUCCGGAUUUACUGGGUGUAAAGGGAGCGUAGACGGCAAUGCAAGUCUGAAGUGAAAGGACGGGGCUUAACCUGUGACUGCUUUGGAAACUGUGUAGCUUGAGUGCCGGAGGGGUAAGCGGAAUUCCUAGUGUAGCGGUGAAAUGCGUAGAUAUUAGGAGGAACACCAGUGGCGAAGGCGGCUUACUGGACGGUAACUGACGUUGAGGCUCGAAAGCGU